UACGGGAGGCAGCAGUGGGGAAUAUUGCACAAUGGGCGAAAGCCUGAUGCAGCUAUGCCGCGUGUAUGAAGAAGGCCUUAGGGUUGUAAAGUACUUUCAUCGGGGAGGAAAAACAAAACUAAUAAUUUUAUUUCUUGACGUUACCCGAAAAAGAAGCACCGGCUAACUCCGUGCCAGCAGCCGCGGUAAUACGGAGGGUGCUAGCGUUAAUCAGAAUUACUGGGCGUAAAGAGCACGUAGGUGGUUUUUUUAAAGUCAGAUGUGAAAUCCCUGGGCUUAACCUAGGAACUGCAUUUUGAAACUGAAAUACUAGAGUAUCGUAGAGGGAGGUAGAAUUCUAGGUGUAGCGGUGAAAUGCGUAGAUAUCUGGAGGAAUACCUGUGGCGAAAGCGGCCUCCUAAACGAAUACUGACACUGAGGUGCGAAAGCGUGGGGAGCGAAACAGGGAUUAGGAU
RNAcentral lists this ribosomal RNA (455 nucleotides) under uncultured bacterium. Its description in RNAcentral is "bacterial SSU rRNA". It matches the Rfam family "Bacterial small subunit ribosomal RNA", at positions 340 to 784 of the family's 1533-position model. The record is from RNAcentral.